CAGUCGCCGCGGUAAUACCAGCAGCCCAAGUGGUGGUCGCGCUUAUUGGGCCUAAAGCGCUCGUAGCCUGGCCGGUAAGUUCCCCGUGAAAUCGGGUCGCCCAACGAUUCGGCUUGCGGGGAAUACUGUCGGUCUUGGGGCCGGGAGACGCCGAGGGUACUCCGGGGGUAGCGGUGAAAUGCUGUAAUCCUCGGGGGACUACCAGUGGCGAAGGCGCUCGGCGAUAACGGGCCUGACGGUGAGGGGCGAAAGCUGGGGGCGCGAACGGGAUUAGAUACCCCCGUAGUCCCUGUCUCUUAUA
Molecule: ribosomal RNA, 301 nt
Filed under: uncultured bacterium
Lineage: Bacteria
Description: partial 16S ribosomal RNA
Rfam family: Archaeal small subunit ribosomal RNA
Source: RNAcentral